AUUGAACGCCGGCGGCAGGCUUAACACAUGCAAGUCGAGCGGGGGAAGGUAGCUUGCUACCGGACCUAGCGGCGGACGGGUGAGUAAUGCUUAGGAAUCUGCCUAUUAGUGGGGGACAACAUCUCGAAAGGGAUGCUAAUACCGCAUACGUCCUACGGGAGAAAGCAGGGGAUCUUCGGACCUUGCGCUAAUAGAUGAGCCUAAGUCGGAUUAGCUAGUUGGUGGGGUAAAGGCCUACCAAGGCGACGAUCUGUAGCGGGUCUGAGAGGAUGAUCCGCAACACUGGGACUGAGACACGGCCCAGACUCCUACGGGAGGCAGCAGUGGGGAAUAUUGGACAAUGGGGGGAACCCUGAUCCAGCCAUGCCGCGUGUGUGAAGAAGGCCUUAUGGUUGUAAAGCACUUUAAGCGAGGAGGAGGCUACUCUAGUUAAUACCUAGGGAUAGUGGACGUUACUCGCAGAAUAAGCACCGGCUAACUCUGUGCCAGCCGCCGCGGUAA
This 501-nucleotide ribosomal RNA is filed under the name uncultured bacterium. RNAcentral's name for it is "partial 16S ribosomal RNA". It matches the Rfam family "Bacterial small subunit ribosomal RNA", at positions 30 to 523 of the family's 1533-position model. The record is from RNAcentral.